GUGCUUGAUAGCUCAGUUGGUUAGAGCCUGGUGCUGAGAAUGCCAAGGUUGCAGGUUCGAUCCCUGUAUGGGACA
This 75-nucleotide transfer RNA is filed under the name Podarcis lilfordi (Lilford's wall lizard). RNAcentral's name for it is "tRNA.Leu". The stretch from base 9 to 67 matches the Rfam family "tRNA", at positions 8 to 63 of the family's 71-position model. Rfam says of the family: Transfer RNA (tRNA) molecules are approximately 80 nucleotides in length. Their secondary structure includes four short double-helical elements and three loops (D, anti-codon, and T loops). Further hydrogen bonds mediate the characteristic L-shaped molecular structure. tRNAs have two regions of fundamental functional importance: the anti-codon, which is responsible for specific mRNA codon recognition, and the 3' end, to which the tRNAs corresponding amino acid is attached (by aminoacyl-tRNA synthetases). tRNAs cope with the degeneracy of the genetic code in two manners: having more than one tRNA (with a specific anti-codon) for a particular amino acid; and 'wobble' base-pairing, i.e. permitting non-standard base-pairing at the 3rd anti-codon position. Lineage: Eukaryota; Metazoa; Chordata; Lepidosauria; Squamata; Lacertidae. The record is from RNAcentral.